GACGGACCGUGCGAACGUUGUUCGGAAUCACUGGGCUUAAAGGGCGCGUAGGCGGCUCGCGGGGUCGGGGGUGAAAUCCCGCAGCUUAACUGCGGAAGGGCCUCCGAUACCGGCGGGCUGGAGGAAGGUAGGGGUGCGCGGAACUUCUGGUGGAGCGGUGAAAUGCGUUGAUAUCAGAAGGAACGCCGGCGGCGAAAGCGGCGCACUGGACCUUUUCUGACGCUGAGGCGCGAAAGCUAGGGGAGCAAACGGG
RNAcentral lists this ribosomal RNA (253 nucleotides) under uncultured bacterium. Its description in RNAcentral is "partial 16S ribosomal RNA". It matches the Rfam family "Bacterial small subunit ribosomal RNA", at positions 524 to 776 of the family's 1533-position model. The record is from RNAcentral.